Long non-coding RNA from Merops nubicus (carmine bee-eater), 638 nucleotides. RefSeq lists it as uncharacterized. NCBI's taxonomy places the organism in Eukaryota, Metazoa, Chordata, Aves, Coraciiformes, Meropidae. The transcript is spliced from 3 exons. The record is from RefSeq and is a predicted model, not a curated record.
UUCUGGCCUCUUCGGGUAUUGAUUAUGAUAUAAAAAUUUGGUCGCCAUUGGAAGAAUCCAAGAUUUUUAACAGAAAACUUGCAGACGAGGUUAUAACACGUAAUGAAUUAAUGCUGGAAGAAACCAGAAAUACUAUUACUGUUCCAGCUUCUUUUAUGUUAAGAAUGUUGGCUUCAUUGAAUCAUAUAAGAGCAGACCGAUUGGAAGGUGACAGAUCAGAAGGAUCUGGUCAGGAGAAUGAAAAUGAAGAUGAAGAAUGACUGCCAAUUGUGUGCAAGCACCUAGACAUUAACAGAAUUUGUAUAAGACAUUAAUUAUAUUUUUCCUUACAGAGCUUUACUGUAAUUAAAGGUAUUGCUUUUGGAUAACCUAACCUUUUGUUUUUGGAUGACUGUGUGCAUGACUUUGGGAGAGUGUGCAAGUAAAAUAAGCAAAAAAGUUUUUAAAAUGUUCUGCCAUGUACGGGGGGUACCAGAAGAUGCAAAGUGCAAUAUUUUCCUUAACCUGCAAAUGUGGGAGCUCGGAUCAAUGUUUUAAAGUAACUCUCAUUGUAGUAAAACGUUGGUUGAAAUAAAUUUCUAUACCUGCUGUUUGCAUGUUUGUUGCUUUCUAAUUAAAAGAUUUGGUUGUUUUAAGUA